CUGUUUUUAUUUUUCAGCUCUAUGCAACUCAUUUUCAUCUAGCAUUACCUCUCCAAAACCUGAAUCUCCACAAGAAAGCCACACAGCAAUUAACCAGUGUUGCAAGAACUGCUUCUGUAAUAAAGGUGGGAAGACAAAUUGAUGCAACCCUCUUGAAAAGCAAUCUGGCAAUAUGAACCAAGAGCCAUGAAAAGGCUUAUGCUAUUAUAAUUAAAUGGCUGUAAUGUUGGCUGUAAAUAUGAAAUUUUCUUUCACACACCAAUGUUUUCAAGAAUGGCAUAUUCACAUGCAGUAUGUGGAGGCCUUUGCUUGAUUCCAUGCCUUUGUAUGAAAAUAUUUUCUGUAGUACAUGACAAACACAUAACCAUUAUUUGCUCAUAUAUGUCUCCCUUACUGCAUUAUGAGUCAUUCAGAACAGAGACCAUGUCUUGUUUAUCACUGUAUACCAAGCAUCUGCAGAGGGUAAAGAGUCGAGAUACAUUAAUUGAUUUCCCCUUGGAAAUAAAAUGUAAAGGAAAACUAUGGAAAAA
RNAcentral lists this long non-coding RNA (530 nucleotides) under Homo sapiens (human). RNAcentral describes it as "long intergenic non-protein coding RNA 3076". The record is from RNAcentral. Lineage: Eukaryota; Metazoa; Chordata; Mammalia; Primates; Hominidae.